This 893-nucleotide small RNA is filed under the name Pan troglodytes (chimpanzee). RNAcentral's name for it is "processed transcript". Lineage: Eukaryota; Metazoa; Chordata; Mammalia; Primates; Hominidae. The record is from RNAcentral.
GCGGCCGACGGCGCCGGGCAGAGGGGGGGCUCCUCAUGAGGCCCAUUAUCUGCAUUUGCAAUGACCAGUUCGCACCGUCCCUGCGGCAGCUGAAGCAGCAGGCCUUCCUGCUCCACUUCCCACCGACUCUGCCCUCGAGGCUGGUGCAGCGGCUCCAGGAGGUCUCCCUGCGGCAGGGCAUGAGGGCCGACCCGGGGGUGCUGGCCGCCCUCUGUGAGAAAACUGACAAUGACAUCCGGGCCUGCAUCAACACCCUGCAGGUGGGCGGCCGGCAGGCACCGGGUGGGGUGGGGUGGGGUCAGGAGUUGGCCGCUUCUCAUGCCCCGGCCCUAUGUCUAGUUCCUGUACAGCCGGGGCCAGCGGGAGCUGAGCGUGCGGGACGUGCAGGCCACACGCGUGGGCCUCAAGGACCAGCGCAGAGGGCUCUUCUCGGUGUGGCAGGAGGUCUUCCAGCUGCCUCGAGCUCAGAGCACCCCACCCGCAGGCGCCGUGUGGGCCAGGACCCCGCCCUGCCUGCUGACACACUCCUGCUGGGUGACGGGGACGCGGGCUCCCUCACCUCCACCUCACAGCGAUUCUACCGUGUUCUGCAUGCCGCUGCCUCUGCGGGCGAGCACGAGAAGGUGGUCCAGGGCUUGUUUGACAACUUCCUGCGUCUGCGGCUGCGAGACUCCAGCCUGGGCGCUGUGUGUGUGGCCCUCGACUGGCUGGCCUUCGAUGACCUGCUGGCGGGGGCUGCUCAUCACAGCCAGAGCUUCCAGCUGCUGCGCUACCCACCCUUCCUGCCCGUGGCCUUCCACGUGCUGUUUGCUUCCAGCCACACACCCAGGAUCACCUUCCCCAGCAGCCAGCAGGAGGCCCAGAACCGGAUGAGCCAGAUGAGGAACCUGAUC